This 301-nucleotide ribosomal RNA is filed under the name uncultured bacterium. RNAcentral's name for it is "partial 16S ribosomal RNA". It matches the Rfam family "Bacterial small subunit ribosomal RNA", at positions 509 to 807 of the family's 1533-position model. The record is from RNAcentral.
CAGCAGCCGCGGGAAUACGAAGGGUGCAAGCGUUAAUCGGAAUUACUGGGCGUAGAGCGUGCGUAGGCGGUUUGUUAAGCCUGUUGUGAAAUCCCCGGGCUCAACCUGGGAAUGGCAAUGGAUACUGGCAAGCUAGAGUGUGUCAGAGGAUGGUGGAAUUCCCGGUGUAGCGGUGAAAUGCGUAGAGAUCGGGAGGAACAUCAGUGGCGAAGGCGGCCAUCUGGGACAACACUGACGCUGAGGCACGAAAGCGUGGGGAGCAAACAGGAUUAGAUACCCGUGUAGUCCCUGUCUCUUAUAC